GCCUGGUCCGAAUGCCCGGGAAUUUUUAAUUAAUCCAUCACAGUCCGUUACAGAUUUCUUUGUUCUUUCUCCACUCGUAAUGCUUCACUUGACUAGUCAUUC
This 102-nucleotide Y RNA is filed under the name Ornithorhynchus anatinus (platypus). Its description in RNAcentral is "Y RNA (ENSOANG00000046527.1)". It matches the Rfam family "Y RNA". Rfam says of the family: Y RNAs are components of the Ro ribonucleoprotein particle (Ro RNP), in association with Ro60 and La proteins. The Y RNAs and Ro60 and La proteins are well conserved, but the function of the Ro RNP is not known. In humans the RNA component can be one of four small RNAs -- hY1, hY3, hY4 and hY5. Lineage: Eukaryota; Metazoa; Chordata; Mammalia; Monotremata; Ornithorhynchidae. The record is from Rfam by way of RNAcentral.